This 1244-nucleotide ribosomal RNA is filed under the name metagenome. RNAcentral describes it as "bacterial LSU rRNA". It matches the Rfam family "Bacterial large subunit ribosomal RNA", at positions 1564 to 2817 of the family's 2925-position model. The record is from RNAcentral.
UGAAUACGAGACGCUAAGGCGUUGAAGUAGUGUAUGUCAUACUUCCAAGAAAAGCUUGCACUGUCAUAGAUAAAAAACGCCUGUACCAUAACCGACACAGGUGGGUAGGUAGAGUAUACUAAGGGGCGCGAGAUAACUCUCUCUAAGGAACUCGGCAAAAUAACUCCGUAACUUCGGGAGAAGGAGUGCCUUAUUUAUAAGGCUGCAAUAACAAGAUCCAAGCAACUGUUUAUCAAAAACACAGGUCUCCGCUAAGUCGUAAGACGAUGUAUGGGGGCUGACGCCUGCCCAGUGCCAGAAGGUUAAAGAAGUUGGUUAGCAAUAGCGAAGCUGAUAACUGAAGCCCUGGUGAACGGCGGCCGUAACAAUAACGGUCCUAAGGUAGCGAAAUUCCUUGUCGGGUAAGUUCCGACCCGCACGAAAGGCGUAAUGAUUUGGAUACUGUCUCGGAGAGGGGCUCGGUGAAAUAGACUUGUCUGUGAAGAUGCGGACUACCUGCACCAGGACAGAAAGACCCUAUGAAGCUUUACUGUAACUUGAAAUUGAAAUUGGACUUUAUUCGCGCAGUAUAGGUGGGAGGCGUUGAUUGUAAUCUUGCGGGAUUAUUGGAGCCAUCAGUGAGAUACCACCCUUGUAAUGUUAGAUUUCUAACUUUGAAUCAUUAUCUGGUCAAAGAACAGUUUCAGGCGGGCAGUUUGACUGGGGCGGUCGCCUCCUAAACGGUAACGGAGGCGUACAAAGGUUUCCUCUGAACGGUUAGAAAUCGUAUCUAGAGUGUAAAGGCAUAAGGAAGCUUGACUGUGAGACCUACAAGUCGAGCAGGGACGAAAGUCGGUCUUAGUGAUCUGACGGUACUGAGUGGAAAGGCCGUCACUCAACGGAUAAAAGUUACUCUAAGGAUAACAGGCUGAUCUCCCCCAAGAGUUCACAUCGACGGGGAGGUUUGGCACCUUGAUGUCGGCUCAUCGCAUCCUGGGGCGGUAGUACGUCCCAAGGGUAGGGCUGUUCGCCCAUGAAAGCGGUACGCGAGCUGGGUUCAGAACGUCGUGAGACAGUUCGGUCCAUAUCCGGUGUAGGCGUUAGAAUAUUGAGAGGAGCCUUCUUUAGUACGAGAGGACCGAGAAGGACAUACCUCUGGUGUACCAGUUAUCGUGCCAACGGUAAACGCUGGGUAGCUAUGUAUGGAGUGGAUAACCGCUGAAAGCAUCUAAGUGGGAAGCCCACCUCAAGAUAAGUAUUCGUAC